RNAcentral lists this small RNA (125 nucleotides) under Marmota monax (woodchuck). Lineage: Eukaryota; Metazoa; Chordata; Mammalia; Rodentia; Sciuridae. The record is from RNAcentral.
GCUGGGCACGGUGGUGCACACCUGUAAUCCCAGCUGUUUGGGAGGCUGAGGCAGGAGGAUUGUGAGUUCAAAGCCAGCCUCAGCAACUAUGAGGCGCUAAACAACUCAGUGAGACCCUGUCUCUA